Molecule: small nuclear RNA, 100 nt
Filed under: Sus scrofa (pig)
Lineage: Eukaryota; Metazoa; Chordata; Mammalia; Artiodactyla; Suidae
Source: RNAcentral
GUGCCCACUUUGGCAGCACAUAUACUAAAUUAGAAUGAUACAGAGAUUAGCAUGGCCCUGUACAAGGAUGACACAAAUUCAUGAAGCAUUCCAUAUUUUA